RNAcentral lists this ribosomal RNA (252 nucleotides) under uncultured bacterium. RNAcentral's name for it is "partial 16S ribosomal RNA". It matches the Rfam family "Bacterial small subunit ribosomal RNA", at positions 524 to 775 of the family's 1533-position model. The record is from RNAcentral.
UACGUAGGGUGCAAGCGUUGUCCGGAAUCAUUGGGCGUAAAGGGCUCGUAGGCGGUCCGUCACGUCGGGAGUGAAAACUUGGGGCUCAACCCCAAGCCUGCUUCCGAUACGGGCGGACUAGAGGUAGGCAGGGGAGAACGGAAUUCCUGGUGUAGCGGUGGAAUGCGCAGAUAUCAGGAGGAACACCGGUGGCGAAGGCGGUUCUCUGGGCCUUACCUGACGCUGAGGAGCGAAAGCGUGGGGAGCGAACAG